CAACAUUCUCUGUAACAAGCUUCAACUGGAAACCCCAGUUGUUUUAACUCUCGAGGACAGCAUGAGACGUCGUUUGGUGUAGUGGAUAGAGCAUUGGCCUGGGAGUCAGAAGCCGUGUCUCCCAGCAGAGUGGGACUGCAGCCACAGUGGCCCUGGAAAUGCCUGUUCUUCUCCCUGUUCAGCCACCCACCAGACAACCAGUGCCACAGCUGUGAUCCCACCUCCCAUAGGUGCAAGGCAGGGAUGGUGGCAGGGAAUAGCAGAGGCUUCCGCUUCAAUCUUGGUGGCCACACUGGAGGUGAAGACACUAGGGAGUAAAACAGCAAAGCCACCCACCAGACAACCAGUGCCACAGCUGUGAUCCCACCUCCCAUAGGUGCAAGGCAGGGAUGGUGGCAGAGAAUAGCAGAGG
RNAcentral lists this long non-coding RNA (412 nucleotides) under Ornithorhynchus anatinus (platypus). RNAcentral's name for it is "lncRNA (ENSOANG00000038425.1)". Lineage: Eukaryota; Metazoa; Chordata; Mammalia; Monotremata; Ornithorhynchidae. The record is from RNAcentral.